This 517-nucleotide long non-coding RNA is filed under the name Gadus morhua (Atlantic cod). RNAcentral's name for it is "lncRNA (ENSGMOG00000026002.1)". Lineage: Eukaryota; Metazoa; Chordata; Actinopteri; Gadiformes; Gadidae. The record is from RNAcentral.
AGGACGACUAGGAAUCGGCCAACAAGGAUUCCUCAACGUGUUUCUGGAGCGGAGGCGAGCUGGUAGAGGAGCCAUGAAUCUGGAGGAUGACCAUCACUCUACCAACAAGGAUUGUAAGUUUGUAUUAACCAAACAUAAUAAAGGGCUUAAAAAUAAGACAAACUAGAUGUUUGUUACCAGACUUUAGGGCCAGACUCACGCUGUUUGUUCCAGACCAGGACUCUGGCUGAGGAGAGCUGAUGGAGGAGCCAAGACUCUGGAGGAUGACAUCACUCCACCAACCAGGAUCCUCACCAGGAAUCUGGAGGACUGAUGGAGCAGCUGUACAUCUGGAAGGCAAAUCCUGAGGAUCACCAGGACUCUACCAUCAAGGAUGCCUCACACACCUGAGCUGAACCUCACCUGAUCCUGUGUGGUCGGGGGUAGACACACCUGAGCUAAACCCGCCCUGAUCCUGCCAGCCUGCUGGUCCCAUCUCCUCAGUUCAUCUGAGCCUCGUCCUCCAGAAGACCUGCUG